GCCUGACGCAGCGACGCCGCGUGCGGGAAGAAGGCCUUCGGGUUGUAAACCGCUUUCAGCAGGGACGAAGCUACUCGGGUGAAUAGCCCAGAGGGUGACGGUACCUGUAGAAGAAGCCCCGGCUAACUACGUGCCAGCAGCCGCGGUAAUACGUAGGGGGCAAGCGUUGUCCGGAUUUAUUGGGCGUAAAGCGCGUGUAGGCGGCCAGGUAGGUCGGUUGUGAAAACUGGAGGCUCAACCUCCAGACGUCGACCGAAACCAUCUGGCUAGAGUCCGGAAGAGGAGAGUGGAAUUCCUGGUGUAGCGGUAAAAUGCGCAGAUAUCAGGAAGAACACCGAUGGCGAAGGCAGCUCUCUGGGACGGUACUGACGCUGAGACGCGAAAGCGUGGGGAGCGAACAGGAUUAGAUACCCUGGUAGUCCACGCCGUAAACGAUGGGUGCUAGGUGUGGGAGGUGUCGACUCCUCCCGUGCCGCAGCUAACGCAUUAAGCACCCCGCCUGGGGAGUACGGCCGCAAGGCUAAGACUCAAAGGAACUGACGGGGGCCCGCACAAGCAGCGGAGCAUGUUGCUUAAUUCGAUGCGACGCGAAAGAACCUUACC
This 603-nucleotide ribosomal RNA is filed under the name uncultured bacterium. RNAcentral's name for it is "bacterial SSU rRNA". It matches the Rfam family "Bacterial small subunit ribosomal RNA", at positions 381 to 975 of the family's 1533-position model. The record is from RNAcentral.